This is a long non-coding RNA of Gallus gallus (chicken), 1533 nucleotides long. The record is from Ensembl. Lineage: Eukaryota; Metazoa; Chordata; Aves; Galliformes; Phasianidae.
UUUCUGUCCUUUGAAGCUUCCAUUCAUGGGCGGGACAACAGGAAACAAACCCCAGGCAUGCAGCCUAACUCUACACUUCAGUGAGCAAAGAAUUUCCAGACACCAGGAGGAAAUUUUCUGGCAGAGAGUGUUGAGGGAAACACAAAGAUGGAUUGAGGCAAAGUGCUUAUAAAGUCUGAGCAAUUUUGAGGGAGAAUUACCUACAGUCUCUGCAGUUCAGGGUAAUUUGCAGUGCUUGGUUGCUUCUCCCCUCAUGCGGCACAAACGGAUAACUGGAGAAUUGGUUCUGCCAGAUCCUCGUUGUAAGCUCUUUAAGGAUUGCUUUAUAGACCUUCCAUUUUAAAACCGGGUGAAGAGAUGAAUAUAUGUGAUUAAAGAUCGAGCUGGGAAGUAUUAGUGUCCAUUUUUUAUUAUGUACAAACAAAAAAUAAGUUAGCCAUAUGCUGUGCCUCGUUUGUUUUGGACUGGUGCACCAAAUGGAAUCUCUAAUAAAUCAUUCAUCGCUUACCCACCCCCUCACUUUCUUAUGUUUCCAUCCUGAUAGGUAAAUAUCACUGACAUUUGAAAGGAGGCUAAUAAAAAAAAAAGGAUUAAAUCUGCAAUUUACAUUUGCAACUUGCAGUUCAAUAAUUUCAGACAGAUAUGGAAACACUCCUGGUUGUCCACCUACAUUCUUCUUGCUGAGCAAAAGCAGGCAUGCCAAGCACAUGCUGAUAGCUCACAAAAUACAUUUCUCCAGAGGCUCAGUUACUCAGAGCUGGACAGGCUGCGGCCAGCUGCCAUGAGGAAAAACAUUGUGCAAAUCCAGUAAGAGGGAGGAGUUGGGAUCACUGAUCCUUACGAGUCUCUUCCAACUUGGGAUAUUCUGUGAUGCUACAACUCUAACUUCAUGUAACUUCAGAGCGUAUUGAAAGGUCUCUGCACUGGGAUAUUUGGCAAAGGAAAGAAGAUUCUUCCAGAAGUCUGCUCUGCUCCCUACACUUCAGCCUGGGGUGGUGGCUGGCAUGGGCAGCCUUGGCACAGCCUCCUUAGGAAUGAAGGGAAGAUUUGUGACUUGGUCACGCGCUUGCCUCAGCAAAACCCAACCUCCACUUGAAUGCCAAGAAGCUGGGACCCCAGCCAACACUCUCUGACAAGCAACGUGGGAGUGAUGUUCUGUGGGAUUACUGCAUCUUCUGUAAUCUUUGCUUUGGCAUAUCUCAAGCCCUCUGACAGCAUGUCACCACUGCUAUAAACAACCAGGAGCCUGAACAUAAUUCAGAUGAUAUUAUCUAGGUAGCUGAAGGUAGUUAUGUCCAAGGCCAUAACUAACCGCCGCACUAAAUAAAUUCAAGAAGUUGAAGGCAAAAAUGUCUCUUUGCCAUAGUCCUUCCAGGAAUGAUUGCAUCUUUGCCUUUCAAAGGAGCCUGCCUACAGCGCAUUGUGAGUUCUGACAAAAUGUCUGGCAUGGGACCAGGUAAAGAGCCAAUGCACUCCAUCAUUUGCCAUCUGUGCCUUUGUAUCUGUUGCCUACUAUGAUCAUGUCCCUUGCAA